Podarcis lilfordi (Lilford's wall lizard) is the source of this 71-nucleotide non-coding RNA. The record is from the annotation of a GenBank genome assembly. NCBI's taxonomy places the organism in Eukaryota, Metazoa, Chordata, Lepidosauria, Squamata, Lacertidae.
AUAUAUAUAUAUAUAUACACACACACACACACUGUGUGUAUGUAUAUAUAUAUGUAUGUAUAUGUGUGUGU